ACCAAGGACAUGUAUCAUUUAUUCUGUUUAAAUGAGAAUUAUAUCAUAAUAUUAAAUUAAACAGUUAUAUGACUAUUACAAAUACAUUGUUCAGUUUGAAUCACGUGGACAUAUACAUAUAUAUAUAUAGCGAAAGGUCAACAUUCUAUCGGCUAAGCUUAAGGAUAAAUGGACAUAUGUUUUUAUUUUAUAAUUUUCUAACGAUAGAACCGGCGUCACCAGUAAAGUUUGUGUUUUCUGUGUAGC
This 246-nucleotide long non-coding RNA is filed under the name Mytilus galloprovincialis (Mediterranean mussel). Lineage: Eukaryota; Metazoa; Mollusca; Bivalvia; Mytilida; Mytilidae. The record is from RNAcentral.